AAAGGAGAGAUUUCGGUGCGUCUGAAAUCGAAAAGGCCACUUUCCUGCUGAUACAUCAGCUUCUGUUGCAUCGACAAGAGAAAAAACAUGAAUAUAGAACUAUUACUUCAUGUGCUAUGCGUUUAGCGAUAUCAGAUGUUCGUGAAUAUCGAAUAACGGGCCUCCUUUUAAGAGCCAAAAAGAUGGCUGCAAUUCCAUCUACGAUUCGAUCACAGUAAGUUUGUAGCUUUGGAGGGUCUACGACAGCAGGGAGCAUAUACAUAUGAUUUGAUGGUGUGUUCAAAGUGAAAUGGUAGGGGUCAAGUGCAACAAAAUCAGCAAAAAACUCCUGCACUUGUUGAACAACUUCAUGUUCAUCUGAAUCCGCUAAGAUAUGGAGCUGAGUAGUAUUCAACAUAUUU
RNAcentral lists this long non-coding RNA (401 nucleotides) under Helianthus annuus (common sunflower). Its description in RNAcentral is "hypothetical non coding rna". Lineage: Eukaryota; Viridiplantae; Streptophyta; Magnoliopsida; Asterales; Asteraceae. The record is from RNAcentral.